Molecule: ribosomal RNA, 292 nt
Filed under: uncultured bacterium
Lineage: Bacteria
Description: partial 16S ribosomal RNA
Rfam family: Bacterial small subunit ribosomal RNA
Source: RNAcentral
GUGCCAGCCGCCGCGGUAAUACGUAGGCAGCGAGCGUUGUUCGGAGUUACUGGGCGUAAAGCGUGCGUAGGCGGCGGCCCAAGUCUGGUGUGAAAUCUCCCGGCUUAACCGGGAGGGUGCGCCGGAAACUGGGUUGCUUGAGUGCCGGAGAGGCAGGCGGAAUUCCUGGUGUAGCGGUGAAAUGCGUAGAUAUCAGGAGGAACACCCGUGGUGUAGACGGCCUGCUGGACGGCCACUGACGCUGAGGCACGAAAGCGUGGGGAGCAAACAGGAUUAGAAACCCCCGUAGUCC